Molecule: long non-coding RNA, 871 nt
Organism: Pseudophryne corroboree (corroboree frog)
Lineage: Eukaryota; Metazoa; Chordata; Amphibia; Anura; Myobatrachidae
Exons: 3
Source: RefSeq, a predicted model, not a curated record
AUGAAACUGAAACUUAAAGUAACAAAGAGCAGCAGCACCUGAAAAACAGCGGCAGACUUCAGGUUCUUCUGUCACUUUGACUGCAGAAACGAUAUUGGUAUAGUGAAAACUGGAACGGUGAUAAACGGAUCUUCCCUCACAAUCCCAGGAGAAAUGGCCUAUAACUAUGAAGACAUUUGGAGAGAGGAGACCUUGCCUAACUUUGCUGAAGUCAUGCUUCUUAGUACCGUCCCGCCAGAGCAGGGCAAAAUCUACGUUAUGUACCAUGGCACGGAUUUGGAAUCAGCAAAAAACAUCAUUCAGUUUGGUUUCAAAAGAUCACAAAAACUUGGCAAUAUGUUAGGAGCAGGAGUCUAUGUUAGCAGAAAUAUAGAGAAGGCCGCGGCUUACCCACUUGGAAGUAAACUGGACCAAGUUAUUUUGAAGCUUAGAGUGAAUGUAGGCAAGGUGAUAAAGAUUGAUGAACAAAACCAUGCUUUGCAGAAAACAUGGCAUGAAUCUGGGUUUGACACUGCUUGGGUACCGCCACACUGUGGUAUGGUCAAAAGUGGACUAGAAGAGGAUUGUGUUUGGGAUCCCAACAGGAUCAAGGUGGUUGGAGUUGAAAAAGCCCCGUACGGGCAUAAGGCUUCUCUGAUUGAAUUAGUUGAAAGGUGUAAAAAGUAAUAAUAGUUAUAUUGAAAAUGAGACAAAUACACAUUUUCUUUUUACUGUCAACAAAUUUGAUUUAGAAAAAUAUUGAUCCACACUGCGCUUAUAAUAUGAGGUUGCUGCCAGCAAUACCACAAAUAGAGCCUUCACCAACAAACUCAGAGAAUAAAAACAUGAUGUCACUCGGCGCUACCAACCAACAAAGCUUUUAUGCAUAAGA